This 7839-nucleotide long non-coding RNA is filed under the name Podarcis lilfordi (Lilford's wall lizard). Lineage: Eukaryota; Metazoa; Chordata; Lepidosauria; Squamata; Lacertidae. The record is from RNAcentral.
AGCCUCUCCCUAACCCCGACCCUAACAACCCAAACCCAAACCCCUAGACAUAAAACAGCAGAAUUACAACUUCUGACCUUUGUCAAAGGUAAAGGUAAAGGGACCCCUGACCAUUAGGUCCAGUCAUGGCCGACUCUGGGGUUGCACCACACAUCUCGCUUUAUUGGCCGGUGUACAGCUUCCAGGUCAUGUGGCAAAACAUGACUAAGUAGUUGGCCAUCAUACAACUAACCUGGAGGUAUGUUUCUCUGUCUCUUCUUUGUGUGGCACUUUACAACUCUUGGGAAUAUGCAGGCGUCCCUUAUGGAGAUUCCCCUGCAACCUUGGUGUUCACAGUACCAAAAGCUGUUAGCAUUUAACUGUUAGGUGUCACAGCCAAAAAUGAGGCGCCUUUGCCAUCAUACAACUAACUUAAAGGAAGGCUAUUUCUGGUUAUUUCUGAAGCACAUUCCAAAGAAUCAUAUGAUAGUGUAUAUAUCUAACUGGAAGGGACCCCAAGGGUCAUCCAGCCCAACCCACUGCAAGGCAGGAAUAUGCAGAAUAACCACUAACCUUGGUUGUGCUGUCAUGGUUGCCCUAUGAAAUGGCACUUUUAUGGCAAUUUAAACUGCAGCUGCAAGUUGCGCCAUGAAGCACCCCUUGCCAUCCCCUUUUGCUGACUGGGAGCGGAGGAGGUGCUGCUUACAGUCUCCCCAGGAGCUUUUCAACAGUCAGGAGGAGGCCUGAAGCCUUCGGGGGGGAUUGAACAUCUGCUGAGAACAUUUAUGCCUCCAGAAAAGGAAAAAACAAUGGUCCUGCUCUAAGGGAAUGCUCAUGAGUGUAUAAGUGCUGCUCUUUAAAACACCUCUCUUAACAUUACAAACUGCUGCAAAUUUCCAAAACGCAUACAUCCGUGCCAGUGUUUGUCAACGUAAAUGAUUCAACUGGCCCUUGGUUUUGGCCCCCGUUGCAGGGGCUCAGCCCACUUAGUCUCCUGCCAUUGGGGCUCCCAGCCUAGGUGCAUGGCGGGGGAGAGGCUUAAAUCUUUGCAGUUGAUUUUUAAGGACUGACACACAAACACACACCCCAAAACUAUAUUAAGACAUUACUAAAUGCUAAGGUUUCCAUUUUUGGAGAGACCGUGGGAAAGUGCCAUCUCCCUGACCAUCGAGGAAUAGAGACUGUUCUCUGGGAGGUUGCCAGGGUUACGGGUGUGAGGAGAGGAAGAAAGACUUUUCACCCAGCUGUUUGAGCUGAAAUCCCUUUGGAGAAGGCAGGCUGCACCUCUGGAAAGGACCAGGCCGUGUGGAGGUGUAGGGACUGUGCGGUCUUACCGAUUUAGAGAGAUAGCUAGGUAUUGCCCACCUUUCCCAUUACUUCUUGCUGCUAAGAAGCUUUUCCAGUGGAUGGAAGUGGACUUAGGCAGAUGUAGCAUUCGACAUAAAGGAAUAAAGCAGAGCCCAUGCAGGCAACCCAUCUUUUUCCACUGCAGCCUUGUCUCUUUUUCUUCUCUUUCCUUUCACUGCCACGCUGCUGGGCGAAUCAGGUGUUUGGUUAAAGGAGCUGUUUGGGACUUGUCUCAAAAGAUCCCCUUUCCGCCUCUCACCCCACAUGGCAGCAGCAGGAGGGCACCUCUUCUCCCUCCAUCAGGCAAAACUUCCCCCUUCCUUCUCCUCCCCCUUCUUCUGAGCAAGAAUUCAGCACGCCCCAUAGAGACCUAAGAAAUAACGGGGGGGGGGGGGGGCGACUGAAUAGGGGUCCGUGUAAAAACAGGCACAGGAUCUGCAAGCUCCAAUUAACGUGCAAGGAAUAAUAAGGGAGCUCACAGGAAGUGAGGCUACUUUCCCAUCAUACAACUAACUUUGAGGAACACUAUUUCUCUUUCAUCUUUCUGAAGCCCUUUCCAAAGAAUAACCAUGGUAUGUAAACCUCUGGAAAGGACCACAAGGGUCAUCCAGUCCAACCCGCUGCAUCGCAGGAACAUGCAGGAGUCCCUUAUGGGGGAAAAUCCUAACAUCUUGGUUGUGCAGCUAAUGUUCCUCUCUUAAACGGCACUUUGAAGGCUACUUCAGGGAUCCCCACCUCUCCUGCAGCUGCAAGUUCAGCCAGGAAGCAAACAUGGCCAUCCACUAUUCUUGACUGGAAACAGAGGAAGUGCUGCUUACAUCCUCCCUGGGAGCAUUAAGGUAAAGGGACCCCUGACCAUUAGGUCCAGUCACGGACGACUCUGGGGUUGCAGCGCUCAUCUCGCUUUACUGCCCGACAGAGCCGGCGUACAGCAUGACUAAGCCGCUUCUGGCGAACCAGAACAGCGCACGGAAAUGCCGUUUACCAUCCCGCCGGAGCGGUACCCAUUUAUCUACUUGUACUUCGAACUGCUAGGUUGGCAGCAGCAAGGACCCUGCAAAGGGAGCUCACUCCGUCGCGGGGAUUCGAACCGCCAACCUUCUGAUUGCCAAGUCCUAGGCUCGGUGGUUUAACCCACAGCGACACCUGCAUCUCAUAACUUAAAGGAAUGCUAUUUCUGUUUCAUCUUUCUAAAGCACAUUCCAAAGAAUCAUAUGAUGCUGCAUUUAUAUCUAUAUCUGGAAGGGACCUCAUCGGUCAUCCAGCCCAACCCACUGCAAGGCAGGAAUAUGCAGGAGAAUAACCACUAACCUUGGUUGUGCUGUCAGUGUUGCCGGAUUAAAUGGCACUUUCAAGGCAAUUUAAACUGCAGCUUCAAGUUGCGCCAUGAAGCACCCCUUGCCAUCCCCUUUUGCUGACUGGGAGCGGAGGAGGUGCUGCUUACAGUCUCCCCAGGAGCAUUUCAACAGUCAGGAGGAGGCCUGAAGCCUUCGGGGGGAUUGUACAUCUGCUAAGAACAUUUAUGCCUCCAGAAAAGGAAAAAACAAUGGUCCUGCUCUAAGGGAAUGCUCAUGAGUGUAUAAGUGCUGCUCUUUAAAACACACCUCUUAACGUUACAAACUGCUGCAAAUUUACAAGACGCAUACAAAUACGUGCCAGUAUUUGUCAAUGUAAAUGAUUCAAUUGGCUUUUGGCUUUGGCCCCUGUUGCAGGGCUCAGCCCACUUAGUCUUGUGCCAUUGGGGCUCCCAGCCUAGGUGCAUGGCAGGGGACAGUCUUAAAUGUUUGCAGUUGAUUUUUAAGGACUGACACACACAAACACACACCCCAAAACUGUAUUAAGACAUUACUAAAUGCUAAGGUUUCCAUUUUUGGAGAGACCGUGGGAAAGUGCCAUCUCCCUGACCAUCGAGGAAUAGAGACUGAUCUCUGGGAGGUUGCCAGGGUUACUGGUGUGAGGAGAGGAAGAGAGACACUUCACUCAGCUGUUUGAGCUGAAAUCCACCUUUCGAGAAGGCAGGCUGCACCUCUGGAAAGGACCAGGCCUUGUGGAGGUGUAGGGACUGUGUGGUCUUACCGAUUUAGAGAGAUAGCUAGGUAUUGCCCACUGUUCCCUUUACUCCUUGCUGCUAAGAAUCUUUUCCGGUGGAUGGAAGUGGACUUAGGCAGAUGUAGCAUUCGACAUAAAGGAAUAAAGCAGAGCCCAUGCAGGCAACCCAUCUUUUUCCACUGCAGCCUUGCCUCUUUUUCUUCUCUUUCCUUUCGCUGCCACGCUGCUGGGCGAAUCAGGUGUUUGGUUAAAGGAGCCGUUUGGAUCUCGUCUCAAAAGAUCCCCUUUCCCCCUCUCGCCACUCUUCUCCCUCCCUCUGUCAAGCAAAACGUCCCCCUUCCUUCUCCUUCCACUUUUUGGGAGAAGGAAUUCAGCACAGCUCAGAGACCUGAGAAAUAACGGGGGGGGGGGGGCAGAUUUUUUCUAGAACCGAAAGAGGGGUCCAUGUAAAAACAGGCAGAGGAUCCGCCAAGCUCAAACUAAAGUGAAGGAAUAAUAAGGGAGCUCACAGAAAGCGAGGCGACUUUCCUGUGUUAGGCUGCAACUAACUUUAAGGAACGCUAUUUCUCUUUCUUCUUUCUGAAGCUCUUUCCAAAGAAUAAUGAUGGAAUAUAAACCUCUGGAAGGGACCCCAAGGGUCAUCCAGUCCAACCCGUUGCAUUGCAGCAGUCCCUUACGGGAAACAAUCCCGCAACCUUGGUUGUGCAGCGAAUGUUGCACUCUUAAAUGGCACAUUGAAGGCUACUUCAGGGAUCCACACCUCUUCCGGAGCUGCAAGUUCACCCAGGAAGCCAACAUGACCAUCACUAUUCUUGACUGGAAACAGAGGAAGUGCUGCUUAUUCUUCCUGGGAGCAUUUCAACAGUCAGGGGGAGGCCCUGACCCCUAAGCCUAACCCCAAGCUUCUCCAAACGAGAGUUAUAUGUGUGAGCAUGCAAGCAGGUAAACCAAGGGUUAGGGUGUUGCCCCAGUAUCUCCUUGUAAGGAAAUGGAGGGUGAUCAUCAGCAAUGGAGGCAGAGCUAACUAGUUCACCCCUUCUCUUCCCAUCCCUGAGUUCUACAUCAGGGGUGAGGAACUUGCAGUCCAUCUGAUGUUUUUGGACUCCAACUCUGAUGAUAGGAAGCCAUCCCAGUUUCUGAUUUCAUCCCAGAAUGUCCCACUUUUCCUUAGGUAAAGGGACCCCUGACCAUUAGGUCCAGUCGCAGACAACUCUGGGGUUGCGGCGCGCAUCUUGCUUUACUGGCCAUGGGAGCCGGUGUACAGCUUCCGGGUCAUGUGGCCAGAAGGACUAAGGCACUUCUGGUGAACCAGAGCAGCGCACAGAAACACCGUUGACCUUCCUGCCGGAGCGGUACCUAUUUAUCUCCUUGCACUUUAACGUGCUUUUGAACUGCUAGGUUGGUAGGAGCAGGGACCGAGCAAUGGGAGCUCACCCCAUCGUGCGGAUUCGAACCGCCGACCUUCUGAUCGGCAAGUCCUAGGCUCUGUGGUUUAACCCACAGCGCCACCCGCGUCCCUUCUUUCUGACCUUUGACCCCUAGUUAAAAACUAGACUUUCCGUGGCCUUCUUUACUCCAACCCCAAAUUAUCCAGGUUGUUGUGCACCUGUCUAGAAGUAACAAACAUCUCGUAAAGAGAUUUCUCUGCACCUGCGGCCUCAGGUGUGCAUUGCAGGGCAGCCCCAAAACAAAACUGUCUUCCUGACCCUGGGGUUAGGGGAAUUAGGGAAAUUAGGGUAUAAAGACUAUACUUUUGGGGAAGCCUGUUUAUUCUGACAUUGGCGUUGGUGAAGGAAACCACAGACUGAUCCUGGUGAAAGCGCACUGUUUUAGGAGACAGGGGUCCCAUCCCACGCUCACCCUCUCUAACCCAGAGGAUCCCAAGACAAUUUGUCUCCUACCAUUCUCUGUAUGGGUGCUGCUCCUCUUGCGGGCAGGCGCUGAAGGUAGGAUGAAGACCUUUUCCACCAUGAUUGGGGGGGGAGACAGAUUGGGGGGAGAACACAAAGCGUUCCCUCUAUCUCCCCCUUCUGCCCUGAAGUGUGUACAGGGAAGCCCACUCACUUCAGAUACCCUCGUUUUUCCCCACCUUUUUCUUUACCAUGCAUAAGUAGACUUGUGCCUGAUACAUAAGGAUUAUAAAAAUCCACAAAACUAUCAGUGGACCUGAUUUCUUUCAGAUGAACUGAACGAGUAGGAGUAUAAAACAGGCACCCAUCAUUUGUAUUGCUAUGCAAGACAGAAUAAAGUAGCCAGCAGGGAAGGGAAAGUGGUUGGCCAUCAUACAACUAACCUAGAGGUAUGUUUUACUGCUUAUUCUUUGUGUGGCACUUUGCAGCUCUUAGGAAUGUGCAGGCGUCCCUUAUAGAGAUCUCCCUGCAACCUUGGUGUUCACAGUACCAAAAGGUAGUAGCAUUUAACUGUUAGGUGUCACAGCCUAGUGAGGCAACUUUGCCAGCAUAAAGGUAAAAGGACCCCUGACCAUUAGGUCCUGUUGUGGCCGACUCUGGGGUUGCGUCGCUCAUCUCGCUUUACUGGCCAAGGGAGCCGGUGUACAGCUUCCGGGUCAUGGGGCCAGCAUGACUAAGCCGCUUCUGGCGGACCAGAACAGCGCAUGGAAACGCAGUUAACCUUCCUGCCAGAGCAUUUGUCUACUUGCACUUUGACGUGCUUUCGAACUGCUAGGUUGGCAAGAGCAGGGACCCAGCAAAGGGAGCUCACCCCAUUGCGGGGAUUCGAACCGCUGACCUUCUGAUCGGCAAGUCCUAGGCUCUGCGGUUUAACCCACAGCGUCCGUAACUUAAAGGAAUGCUAUUUCUGUUUCUUCUUUCUGAAACCACCAACCUUGGUUGUGCUGUCAGUGUUGCCCUAUGAAAUGGCACUUUUAAGGCAAUUUAAACUGCAGCUGCAAGUUGCGCCAUGAAGCACCCCUUGCCAUCCCCUUUUGCUGACUGGGAGCGGAGGAGGUGCUGCUUACAGUCUCCCCAGGAGCAUUUCAACAGUCAGGAGGAGACCUGAAGCCUUUGGGGGGGGGGAUUGUACAUCUGCUAAGAACAUUUAUGCCUCCAGAAAAGGGAAAAAACCAUGAGCCUGCUCUAAGGGAAUGCUCAUGAGUAUAUAAGUGCUGUUCUUUAAAACACACCUCUUAACGUUACAAACUGCUGCAAAUUUACAAGACGCAUACAAAUACGUGCCAGUAUUUGUAAAUGUAAAUGAUUCAACUGGCUUUUGGUUUUGGCCCCUGUUGCAGGGGCUCAGCCCACUUAGUCUUGUGCCAUUGGAGCUCCCAGCCUAGGUGCACAGCGGGGGAGAGGCUUAAAUCUUUGCACAGUUGAAUUUUAAGGACUGACACACACAAACACCCCCAAUCUGUAUUAAGACAUUACUAAAUACUAGCGUUUCAAUUUUUAGAGCGACCGUGAGAAAAUACAAUCUCCCUGACCAUCGAGGAAUAGAGACUGUUUCUGGGAGGUUGCCAGGGUUACGGGUGUGAGGAGGGGAAGAGAGACUUUUCACCCAGCUGUUUCAGCUGAAAUCCACCUUUGGAGAAUGCAGGCUGCACCUCUGGAAAGGACCAGGCCUUGUGGAGGUGUAGGGACUGUGUGGUCUUACCGAUUUAGAGAGAUAGCUAGAUAUUGCCCAGCGUUCCCUUUGCUCCUUGCUAAGAAGCUUUUCCAGUGGAUGGAAGUGCACUUAGGCAGAUGUAGCUGCCUUUUGCAACUCCACAGAGAUGUCUGGCAGCUGCCUUGCCUCUUUUUCUUCUCUUUCCUUUCGCUGCCACGCUGCUGGGCGAAUCAGGUGUUUGGUUAAAGGAGCUGUUUGGAUCUUGUGCCCAAAGAUCCCCUUUCCUGCUCUCGCCCCACAAGACGGCAGCAGGAGGGCCCUGGCACUGGCACCUUUGGGGCACUGGCAUCUUGUCUCAAAAGAUUCCCUCUUCUCCCUCCCUCCGUCAGGCGAAGCUUCCCCUUCUCCUUCCCUUUUUUGGGAUCAGGAAUUCAGCACGCCCCAUAGAGACCUGAGAAAUAAAAGGGGGGCAGAUUUUUUCCAGAAUCACUGAAAGAGGGGUCCGUGUAAAAAUAGGCACAGGAUCUGCCAAGCUCCAAUUAACGUACAAGGAAUAACAAAGGAGCUCACAGGAAGCAAGGCUUCUUUCCCAUCAUACAACUAACUUUAAGGAACGCUAUUUCUCUUUCUUCUUUCUGAAGCCCUUUCCAAAGAACAAUGAUAGAAUAUAAACCUCUGGAAGGGACCCCAAGGGUCAUCAAGUCCAACUUGCUGCAUUGCAGGAACAUGCAGGAGUCCCUUAUGGGGAACAAUCCUGCAAACUUGAUUGUGCAGCAAAUGUUGCCCUCUUAAAUGGCACACCUCUCCUGCAGCUGAAGCCAACAAGGCCAUCACUAUUCUGGACUGGAAACAGAGGAACUGCUGCUUACAUCCUCCCUGGGAGCAUUUCAGCAGUCAGGG